GGCGGACGGGUUAGUAACGCGUGGGAACGUACCCAAAUCUAAGGAAUAGCCACUGGAAACGGUGAGUAAUACCUUAUACGCCCUUCGGGGGAAAGAUUUAUCGGAUUUGGAUCGGCCCGCGUUAGAUUAGGUAGUUGGUGGGGUAAUGGCCUACCAAGCCUACGAUCUAUAGCUGGUUUUAGAGGAUGAUCAGCAACACUGGGACUGAGACACGGCCCAGACUCCUACGGGAGGCAGCAGUGGGGAAUCUUAGACAAUGGGCGCAAGCCUGAUCUAGCCAUGCCGCGUGAGUGAUGAAGGCCUUAGGGUCGUAAAGCUCUUUCGCCUGUGAUGAUAAUGACAGUAGCAGGUAAAGAAACCCCGGCUAACUCCGUGCCAGCAGCCGCGGUAAUACGGAGGGGGUUAGCGUUGUUCGGAAUUACUGGGCGUAAAGCGCAC
This 438-nucleotide ribosomal RNA is filed under the name uncultured Roseovarius sp. RNAcentral's name for it is "bacterial SSU rRNA". It matches the Rfam family "Bacterial small subunit ribosomal RNA", at positions 97 to 570 of the family's 1533-position model. Lineage: Bacteria; Pseudomonadati; Pseudomonadota; Alphaproteobacteria; Rhodobacterales; Roseobacteraceae. The record is from RNAcentral.